RNAcentral lists this ribosomal RNA (460 nucleotides) under uncultured bacterium. RNAcentral describes it as "partial 16S ribosomal RNA". It matches the Rfam family "Bacterial small subunit ribosomal RNA", at positions 338 to 795 of the family's 1533-position model. The record is from RNAcentral.
CCUACGGGUGGCAGCAGUGAGGAAUAUUGGUCAAUGGACGAGAGUCUGAACCAGCCAAGUAGCGUGAAGGAUGACUGCCCUAUGGGUUGUAAACUUCUUUUAUAUGGGAAUAAAAUGUUCCACGUGUGGGAUUUUGUAUGUACCAUAUGAAUAAGGAUCGGCUAACUCCGUGCCAGCAGCCGCGGUAAUACGGAGGAUACGAGCGUUAUCCGGAUUUAUUGGGUUUAAAGGGAGCGUAGGGGGAUUGUUAAGUCAGUUGUGAAAGUUUGCGGCGCAACCGUAAAAUUGCAGUUGAAACUGGCAGUCUUGAGUACAGUAGAGGUGGGCGGAAUUCGUGGUGUAGCGGUGAAAUGCUUAGAUAUCACGAAGAACUCCGAUUGCGAAGGCAGUUCACUGGACUGCAACUGACACUGAGGCUCGAAAGUGUGGGUAUCAAACAGGAUUAGAUACCCGAGUAGUC